This 247-nucleotide ribosomal RNA is filed under the name uncultured bacterium. RNAcentral's name for it is "partial 16S ribosomal RNA". It matches the Rfam family "Bacterial small subunit ribosomal RNA", at positions 527 to 773 of the family's 1533-position model. The record is from RNAcentral.
GGAGGAUCCAAGCGUUAUCCGGAUUUAUUGGGUUUAAAGGGUGCGUAGGCGGUUUUAUAAGUUAGAGGUGAAAAUUCGGGGCUCAACUCCGGACGUGCCUCUAAUACUGUAUGACUAGAGAAUAGAUGCGGUAGGCGGAAUGUAUGGUGUAGCGGUGAAAUGCGUAGAGAUCAUACAGAACACCGAUUGCGAAGGCAGCUUACCAAACUAUAUCUGACGUUGAGGCACGAAAGCGUGGGGAGCAAAC